ACGGAAGGCAGCAGUGGGGAAUAUUGCACAAUGGGGGAAACCCUGUUGCAGCGACGCCGCGUGAGUGAAGAAGUAUUUCGGUAUGUAAAGCUCUAUCAGCAGGAAAGAAAAUGACGGUACCUGACUAAGAAGCCCCGGCUAACUACGUGCCAGCAGCCGCGGUAAUACGUAGGGGGCAAGCGUUAUCCGGAUUUACUGGGUGUAAAGGGAGCGUAGACGGCUUUGCAAGUCUGAAGUGAAAGCCCGGGGCUCAACCCCGGAACUGCUUUGGAAACUGUAGAGCUAGAGUGCAGGAGAGGUAAGUGGAAUUCCUAGUGUAGCGGUGAAAUGCGUAGAUAUUAGGAGGAACACCAGUGGCGAAGGCGGCUUACUGGACUGUAACUGACGUUGAGGCUCGAAGGCGUGGGGAGCAAACAGGAUUAGAUACCCUGGUA
Molecule: ribosomal RNA, 434 nt
Filed under: uncultured Lachnospiraceae bacterium
Lineage: Bacteria; Bacillati; Bacillota; Clostridia; Lachnospirales; Lachnospiraceae
Description: partial 16S ribosomal RNA
Rfam family: Bacterial small subunit ribosomal RNA
Source: RNAcentral